Molecule: ribosomal RNA, 497 nt
Filed under: uncultured bacterium
Lineage: Bacteria
Description: partial 16S ribosomal RNA
Rfam family: Bacterial small subunit ribosomal RNA
Source: RNAcentral
GAUGAACGCUGGCGGCGUGCCUAAUACAUGCAAGUCGAGCGAACAGACGAGGAGCUUGCUCCUCUGACGUUAGCGGCGGACGGGUGAGUAACACGUGGAUAACCUACCUAUAAGACUGGGAUAACUUCGGGAAACCGGAGCUAAUACCGGAUAAUAUAUUGAACCGCAUGGUUCAAUAGUGAAAGACGGUUUUGCUGUCACUUAUAGAUGGAUCCGCGCCGCAUUAGCUAGUUGGUAAGGUAACGGCUUACCAAGGCAACGAUGCGUAGCCGACCUGAGAGGGUGAUAGGCCACACUGGAACUGAGACACGGACCAGACUCCUACGGGAGGCAGCAGUAGGGAAUCUUCCGCAAUGGGCGAAAACUUGACGGAGCAACGCCGCGUGAGUGAUGAAGGUCUUCGGAUCGUAAAACUCUGUUAUUAGGGAAGAACAAAUGUGUAAGUAACUAUGCACGUCUUGACGGUACCUAAUCAGAAAGCCACGGCUAACUACGUG